RNAcentral lists this non-coding RNA (234 nucleotides) under Clostridiaceae bacterium. RNAcentral describes it as "T-box sequence". It matches the Rfam family "T-box leader". Rfam says of the family: Uncharged tRNA acts as the effector for transcription antitermination of genes in the T-box leader family. T-boxes are found upstream of many aminoacyl-tRNA synthetase genes and some amino acid biosynthetic genes usually in Gram-positive bacteria. Lineage: Bacteria; Bacillati; Bacillota; Clostridia; Eubacteriales; Clostridiaceae. The record is from RNAcentral.
AUAAACACUGUGAAAGAGAAGAGUAAUUGGUCACCUGCUGACCUCAGAGAAUCGGUGAUGGUGAAAAUCCGAUGCAGCAAUCCAAUGAAGCCACUCUAGAGUGUUCUUCUGAAAAACCAAUCGAGGUUGAGUAAGCAGAACCGGUCUCCACCGUUAUGGAGAGUGAGUUUUACUGAGGGGGUCUGUAUAAGACCAACUAGGGUGGUACCGCGAGAUAAGCCUCUCGUCCCUAUU